Molecule: long non-coding RNA, 338 nt
Organism: Acipenser ruthenus (sterlet)
Lineage: Eukaryota; Metazoa; Chordata; Actinopteri; Acipenseriformes; Acipenseridae
Exons: 3
Source: RefSeq, a predicted model, not a curated record
GCAGUGUAAACUCACCCGACUUUAGGACGGCUCACACACGACGUGACUGCCGCUCGGCUCCUCCCCCACAGAAUCUAAACAGGAAGAAGCUGCAGUGCCGUUGCAGCGUCACAAAAAGAGAAGAACGACGUGAGGUGCAGAGCCGGUGGACGUCAAAGAAACAAAAGUGUAAUAUUUGAGUAUAUCGAGCAAGAAAGCACAGCUGUCAUAGUUGUGGGGCGAAACUCAAAUCCAGAGUGCACUCUAAGCGGAAACACAAAAUAAAUACAUAUACCGAGAAAUAGCGGCAGGUCUGGCGAAAGAUCUGUGCAACCCCUUCUCUGCACUUUUUGAUUCUG